GGGACUGUGGGGUAGCUUGGUUCAUCCUCUGUGGUUUGGGGCCACGUGACCCCGGUUCGAAUCCGGGCAGUCCCA
This 75-nucleotide transfer RNA is filed under the name Candidatus Woesearchaeota archaeon. RNAcentral's name for it is "tRNA-Pro". It matches the Rfam family "tRNA". From Rfam's summary of the family: Transfer RNA (tRNA) molecules are approximately 80 nucleotides in length. The record is from RNAcentral. Lineage: Archaea; Nanobdellati; Candidatus Woesearchaeota.